AUUGAACGCUGGCGGCAGGCCUAACACAUGCAAGUCGAACGGUAACAGGAAGCAGCUUGCUGCUUCGCUGACGAGUGGCGGACGGGUGAGUAAUGUCUGGGAAGCUGCCUGAUGGAGGGGGAUAACUACUGGAAACGGUAGCUAAUACCGCAUAAUGUCGCAAGACCAAAGAGGGGGACCUUCGGGCCUCUUGCCAUCGGAUGUGCCCAGAUGGGAUUAGCUUGUUGGUGGGGUAACGGCUCACCAAGGCGACGAUCCCUAGCUGGUCCGAGAGGAUGACCAGCCACACUGGAACUGAGACACGGUCCAGACUCCUACGGGAGGCAGCAGUGGGGAAUAUUGCACAAUGGGCGCAAGCCUGAUGCAGCCAUGCCGCGUGUAUGAAGAAGGCCUUCGGGUUGUAAAGUACUUUCAGCGGGGAGGAAGGGAGUAAAGUUAAUACCUUUGCUCAUUGACGUUACCCGCAGAAGAAGCACCGGCUAACUCCGU
This 489-nucleotide ribosomal RNA is filed under the name uncultured bacterium. RNAcentral's name for it is "partial 16S ribosomal RNA". It matches the Rfam family "Bacterial small subunit ribosomal RNA", at positions 30 to 506 of the family's 1533-position model. The record is from RNAcentral.